GGUGGCAGGGUCGCAAAUAACGCAGUGCCCCAGGCAUCUCUGGGCGAGUAUCUCUUUGAGCGCCUCACUCUCAAGCAUGACUAGGAGGCCUCUGUGCCUCUC
This 102-nucleotide microRNA precursor is filed under the name Mus pahari (shrew mouse). Its description in RNAcentral is "miRNA (MGP_PahariEiJ_G0007426.1)". The stretch from base 13 to 88 matches the Rfam family "mir-692 microRNA precursor family", at positions 6 to 83 of the family's 109-position model. Lineage: Eukaryota; Metazoa; Chordata; Mammalia; Rodentia; Muridae. The record is from RNAcentral.